UGGGGAAUAUUGCACAAUGGGGGAAACCCUGAUGCAGCGACGCCGCGUGAGUGAAGAAGUAAUUCGUUACGUAAAGCUCUAUCAGCAGGGAAGAGAAUGACGGUACCUGAGUAAGAAGCCCCGGCUAACUACGUGCCAGCAGCCGCGGUAAUACGUAGGGGGCAAGCGUUAUCCGGAUUUACUGGGUGUAAAGGGAGCGUAGACGGCAGAGAAAGUCUGAAGUGAAAGCCCGCGGCUCAACCGCGGAACUGCUUUGGAAACUUUUCGGCUAGAGUACCGGAGAGGUAAGCGGAAUUCCUAGUG
Molecule: ribosomal RNA, 303 nt
Filed under: uncultured bacterium
Lineage: Bacteria
Description: bacterial SSU rRNA
Rfam family: Bacterial small subunit ribosomal RNA
Source: RNAcentral